CAUUCACACAGACGUCGCGCGAAAGGCGGGGCUUAGCGUUUGAUUGGCAUUGUGUGUGUCCGAAUAGUUAGCCACGGGACCCACGAAUACUGAAAGCUUUGAAUAUCUGACCGGGACGACUCGGGACAACCUAGAUUUGGCACUUGGCUGGAGCAGUGGAUGAGAAGUUUGUAGCAGAUCGGGGAGGGAGUGGGAACAGCAUCGGCCACAACUGGAAUCUCAUUGAUCGGCAGCCAUGAUCACAGAUCAUUUGACCAUUGAAGAUUUUGUCACUUUGAAAGCCCAGACACGACAGCAUGGACUUGCAGUAUGUUUAUGAGCAGGAUUGGGACAAAGAGAGUGAGACUUCCAG
RNAcentral lists this long non-coding RNA (352 nucleotides) under Sinocyclocheilus grahami. RNAcentral's name for it is "lncRNA (ENSSGRG00000050532.1)". The record is from RNAcentral. Lineage: Eukaryota; Metazoa; Chordata; Actinopteri; Cypriniformes; Cyprinidae.